RNAcentral lists this ribosomal RNA (432 nucleotides) under uncultured bacterium. RNAcentral's name for it is "partial 16S ribosomal RNA". It matches the Rfam family "Bacterial small subunit ribosomal RNA", at positions 29 to 506 of the family's 1533-position model. The record is from RNAcentral.
AACGAACGCUGGCGGCAUGCCUAACACAUGCAAGUCGAACGAGACCUUCGGGUCUAGUGGCGCACGGGUGCGUAACGCGUGGGAACCUGCCCUUAGGUUCGGAAUAACUUCCCGAAAGGGUUGCUAAUACCGGAUAAUUUCUUCGGACCAAAGAUUUAUCGCCUUUGGUUGGGCCCGCGUUGGAUUAGCUAGUUGGUAGGGUAAAAGCCUACCAAGGCGACGAUCCAUAGCUGGUCUGAGAGGAUGAUCAGCCACACUGAGACUGAGACACGGCGCAGACUCCUACGGGAGGCAGCAGUGGGGAAUAUUGGACAAUGGGCGAAAGCCUGAGCCAGCAAUGCCGCGUGAGUGAUGAAGGCCUUAGGGUUGUAAAGCUCUUUUACCCGGGAUGAUAAUGACAGUACCGGGAGAAUAAGCUCCGGCUAACUCCGU